Ictalurus furcatus (blue catfish) is the source of this 2382-nucleotide long non-coding RNA. RefSeq lists it as uncharacterized. The record is from RefSeq and is a predicted model, not a curated record. The transcript is spliced from 3 exons. Lineage: Eukaryota; Metazoa; Chordata; Actinopteri; Siluriformes; Ictaluridae.
GGAGGGAUAGAGCGGCAAAUGACAUAAAGUUUCACCUACUGUACAACCGCUUAGCCUUAAUUUCUGUUUCUCCUGACAGCAUUUCCAGUAAUGACAGGUCUGAUGAAUUCCGGGGGGCUUGAAUACUUUUGUAAGCCACUCUGUAUGACCACUCACCCAUAUGAAGCCCUGCUCUAAUGUCACAAGCCUCUCUGCCUCAUGCAUUUUCCUCAUAUGUCUCCAGUGACCCCUUUAACUCACAGCUCUGGCAGCUCAAUAAUCAUUUUGUGGAACUGUACAUUAACUGGAUCCACACAUGCCCUGCAGUUAUGAAAACACUCUGAGCACGUGCAGAACCACGGGCCACGUGUGCGUCUUCAGCAAAGAAUUUUGACAGACAAGAGGUCAUGGGAAGAUCAUUAAAAAGCAACUGUGUACACAAAGACGUUCAUGAGGAUACAUAGGAGGUGAAAAGAAAAGCCAGCGUGUGUGUGUGUGUGUGUGUGUGUGUGUGUGUGUGUCUCGUUCUGUUGAGCCAGCUGGAAGAGUAUGUGUUUUUAACAGAUGUUCAAAAGUUCCUGGUGUUCUUGGAAAUCCUUGGAUUUGGACAUGGGUUAUCUUGUGGGCGUAUGUGUGUAAACGUAUGCAUAUAUGUGUUCUGUUACAUCGCCGGUCAACCCCAGGACAUCAAGAUUUCAAAAUGUAGUAGUAAAUAGAUCAAAAUGGCCCUGGAGCAUAUGGUAAAUAAGCACCGCGUGCCUCUACAUGGUAAAAGUACAUGUUUUUUUUAAUCACAAAACAGGAUGAUACACACGACAGAUGACCUGACCUAAAAUAUACUGCUCCUCUACUAAUCAUUUUAAAAGGAGGUCAUGAAAGUGACAGCGAGGAAUAUUUUAAUGAGGCAGAACAGGAUAGGAGUCGAGUAUCCAUAACCAGAGUCUGGAGUCUGGAGUCUUCGCUCCGAGCCAAAAGUCAAGAGCACAUUAUGUUACACUCUGAAUAUACCCACAAUCCAACUGGUCUGGACCGCCGGCGCACCACAGAGUUAAAGGAGCGCAUAACAGGAAUGAUGAAUCAGCACUGGGGCGCAUGCAGACACACACACACACACACACACACACACACACAUAUACGAGGUCUUUGGCAUGAAAGCUCUGAAGGUAAAUAUGAGGUCUGUCAUAAGCUCCAAUCUAAAUUUAACCUCAGUUCAGUCUUUAAAUCUGUCGCUCUUUGCUCCCACUCCCAAGCGAAGAGACUCAAGACAAAUCAUAUGCACGUAAAUCAUAAUAUACAGUACAAGUAUAUCACAAAUCAUGCAAAAAGGCUGAAUCUUUCCAUAUACGCUAUUUGAUUCAUAUCCAUGUCACGUUUUAAUCAUCAACAGCUUUUCCGGUUGAUUCAGAUCAGCUACCUGAAUUGUUUUUGGUGCAUUCUUACGUUUAUAGCCAAAUAGCCUACAUACACCUAUCAGCCAUAUGAUUAAAACCACUGACAGGUGACGUGAAUGACAUCGGUGAUCUCGUUACAGUGGCACUUGUUAAGGGGUGGGAUGAUAGAUUAGGCAGCAAGUGAACAGUCCGCUCUCAAAGUCGAUGCGUUGGAAGCGUAAGGAUCUGAGCGACUUUGACAAGGGUUAAAUUGCGAUGGCUAGACGACCGGGUCAGAGCAUCUCCAAAACAGCAGGUCUUGUGGGGUGUUCCCGGUAUGCAGGGGUUAAUACCUACCAAAAGUGGUCCAAGGAAGGACAACCAGUGAACCGGCGAGAGGGUCUACGGCUCGACGGGAUUCCCCUAAUUCAGUUGGAUUGUUCUGGAAUGGUUUGAGGAACACGAUAAUAGAGUUCAAGGAGUUGACUUGGCUUCCAAAUUCCCCUGAUCGCAAUCUCAUCAAGCAUCUGUAGGAUGUGCUGGACAAGCAAGUCCGAUCCAGUGAGGCCCCUCAUGACAACUUACAGGAAAUGGUGACAGACACCACGGCACACCUUCAGAGGUCCUGUGGAGUCCGUGCCUCAAAGGGUCAGAGCUGUUUUGGCGACACAAGGGGGAUCUACACAAUAUUAGGCAGAUGGUUUUAAAGUUAUGUCUGAUUGGUGUAUAUGGUCCAUCCUACUGUAUUGAAAUGAAAACUGUAUUUGAUAUCAUACCACAAAAUGUCUCGUUUUUCCCUGCACCACUUUCCUUAUAUGGUCAAUCUUUCCUGUUUUUGUUUUCUGUUCUCAUGGUCGUCCAAGUGUCUCCACCGGCUCCUAACAGUACCCCUCGUUAGCAUUUUUCUUGAACCUUUUGUGUUUCUCUUCGUGUCGUGUCGGUUUGUGUUUUGUUUUUCAGUUCCUAGUUAAAUUGCUUGUCCCCCCCCCCUCCCCCAAUCAGUCUUUCAUCACAUGCUUAGAAGAUUAGCGCU